UACAGAGGGGGCAAGCGUUAUUCGGAAUUAUUGGGCGUAAAGGGCACGUAGGCGGCGAUUCAAGUGACGGGUGAAAUCCCUCGGCUUAACCGAGGAACUGCCUGUCAGACUGGAUUGCUUGAGGCCGGGAGAGGCGAGUGGAAUUCCCAGUGUAGCGGUGAAAUGCGUAGAUAUUGGGAGGAACACCAGUGGCGAAGGCGGCUCGCUGGACCGGUUCUGACGCUGAGGCGCGAAAGCGUGGGGAGCAAACAGG
RNAcentral lists this ribosomal RNA (253 nucleotides) under uncultured bacterium. Its description in RNAcentral is "partial 16S ribosomal RNA". It matches the Rfam family "Bacterial small subunit ribosomal RNA", at positions 524 to 776 of the family's 1533-position model. The record is from RNAcentral.